AGUGAACGCUGGCGGUAGGCCUAACACAUGCAAGUCGAACGGCAGCACAGUAAGAGCUUGCUCUUACGGGUGGCGAGUGGCGGACGGGUGAGGAAUACAUCGGAAUCUACUUUUCGUGGGGGAUAACGUAGGGAAACUUACGCUAAUACCGCAUACGACCUACGGGUGAAAGCAGGGGAUCUUCGGACCUUGCGCGAUUGAAUGAGCCGAUGUCGGAUUAGCUAGUUGGCGGGGUAAAGGCCCACCAAGGCGACGAUCCGUAGCUGGUCUGAGAGGAUGAUCAGCCACACUGGAACUGAGACACGGUCCAGACUCCUACGGGAGGCAGCAGUGGGGAAUAUUGGACAAUGGGCGCAAGCCUGAUCCAGCCAUACCGCGUGGGUGAAGAAGGCCUUCGGGUUGUAAAGCCCUUUUGUUGGGAAAGAAAAGCAGCAGGUUAAUACCCCGCUGUUCUGACGGUACCCAAAGAAUAAGCAUCGGCUAACUUCGUG
This 491-nucleotide ribosomal RNA is filed under the name uncultured bacterium. RNAcentral's name for it is "partial 16S ribosomal RNA". It matches the Rfam family "Bacterial small subunit ribosomal RNA", at positions 29 to 507 of the family's 1533-position model. The record is from RNAcentral.